Non-coding RNA from Nelumbo nucifera (sacred lotus), 1439 nucleotides. Lineage: Eukaryota; Viridiplantae; Streptophyta; Magnoliopsida; Proteales; Nelumbonaceae. The record is from RefSeq and is a predicted model, not a curated record.
GUAAAGAAUAUAGAUAUUCGUAUAUUCUCCUGACCUUCGGCUCUCCGAAGUGGGAUCAAAAUAUCAAUAUAUCAUCAUCGUUGGGGCUACGACACGAAACUGUUUUCUUUGCUUUACGCUCUAAUACUCUCUAUAUAUUAGCUUUCGCCCGUCACUCUCUCUUUAAGUUUUCUUUUUAUUUCCAGGCACAAGGGUUUCGAAGUUCUCAACAUCAAAUCUCUAGAGCUACGAAUUCGUCCCUGAAAUGUGCUGAAAUUUGCAGUGUCAUCUGUAAAUACAUUGCUUUCGCGAAUCCUGUCGCUUUUUCUCUAGAGCGCUAGAAGGCCAAGGCCUCUGUUUUCUUUCGCAGUUUUUACAGUGCUGUAAAAUUGGACCUGUUCAUUACAGCUUAUAAGUAGAGAUCAAGCUGAUGGGGUGUGACUAGUAUCGGGGGAACUACUUCAAGGUCUAUUUAGUUUUUCCCCAAAGACCAGAAAGAAGAUGAUGAUUUUUCCUGCAGCAUUUUUGGUAUUGUCUCACCAGUAAUCUUUGUCCACGCUGCUGCCAGGAAGCUUUUGGUGAUUUAAACCAUAAUGCCUGGCCUGGCUGUUCCACACUUUCUUGACCUACUACAGAUUUUGGUGAUUCAAACCAUGGAGUUCACUGUAAUUUCUGGAGUCUUGGGGGUUAUCUUAUCUGGAUGGUACCCCUUUUCCUGUGUUGUGCAUACCAAACUUGUUGUGUUGGUGCCUUGAAUUUGACCCGAGAAAAACUUGAAGACAAUUUUAUAGUGGUCUGUGGUGGAAGCAAAAGACUUCAGUGCAAAGGUAUCACAAUUGAGUUAGUUGCACUUGGAUAUUGCAAUCUCAGAUAGGCAGAUAUCGCAAGUAUCAGGUAUCAUACACAGGUGGAUAAUGCAAGUAUCCAGGGUCACAGACCACUUGGAUAUUGCAUCACAUAUCAGGUGGAUCCGCAAAUCGUCUGGAAUCUGGACUCGCAAUAGCCUGGUGUCACAGCCUAAGACUCACAGUGAGAUCUCAUGAGAUUCGCGAGAUCUGGUUCUUAGUAGUUUUGUGGGGCUGACCCGGUUUAGGGUUUUCUCAUUUAAAUAAUCUUGUAUCAUCUCGUAUAUUGUAUCUUGGGGGAUAGGAAAAGAGGGCAAGAGAGUGUAAGAAACAGGGGAGAGGGAACUUCAGGUGUUUUGAGAGUUAGGGUUUUGGUGGGAGGCUAUGAACACUGUAUCUGUAAAUCUCCAUUGUUCUUUAUUUUUUGCUAAAUAAAUUUAACUAAAUUAGCAAAAAACAGAAACAUAGGGUUCAAUACAAAUUGGAGGGCUGUCCCAACUCCCACACUACAAAAAAUACAUCAAGGAAUUUAACUAGUUGAGCUAAGGAAUGGGCAGCCCAUUGUUCAUUAGUGGAUUUCUUCUCUUUGGAGACCCUCGUGGACGUAAGCUGUAA